AGGGCCUUUUCUUCUGUUCGUGGGAACAUGUAACCUUCAAAAUAAUAACCUGUAGCUACGGCCAUCCCUGAACUCUUGCGGAAUUGCCCAUGGGCAUGAGCACUAUGUAUGGGCGAUCCCUCCCUAUAUGGAUACCAGAUAUGUGUGCCUAUGAAAUGACCAGGGAAUAAACUGAUCGAGGCAAGGCCCGAUACGAACUGACAA
Molecule: long non-coding RNA, 204 nt
Filed under: Elaeis guineensis (African oil palm)
Lineage: Eukaryota; Viridiplantae; Streptophyta; Magnoliopsida; Arecales; Arecaceae
Description: long non-coding RNA (EGUI_LNC082111)
Source: RNAcentral